This is a long non-coding RNA of Anguilla anguilla (European eel), 1309 nucleotides long. RefSeq lists it as uncharacterized. Lineage: Eukaryota; Metazoa; Chordata; Actinopteri; Anguilliformes; Anguillidae. The transcript has 4 exons. The record is from RefSeq and is a predicted model, not a curated record.
AGGCAUUUAGUAGAUGCUCCAUUCCAGAGUGACUUAUGUGUUUACAAAAUGUUUUAAGUAACAAAGAGUUAAUGCCACACCAUUUGUGUCACAGUUUGUAGAAGCUGUUAAUACAUAGCUUACUUACAACUUACAACGAAAAGUUAAGAGGCAUAGUAGUUGCAAGGUGCUACAUAAAUAAAUCAGUGUUUCAUUUACUCAUCACUCAAAAAAAAACAACCUUUCUUCACGAUAACCAUGCUGACACAGGUCAAUUAUUGCGGUGUGCUGACUAUAGAUUUUCGUUUCUGUGGCUUGUCCCAUGAACAUUACAAUCAAUGUGUGGUUUCAUUUGUAGGCUAAAUUAAAAUAUGAAUUCUGUAAAAUGUUAUCUCUGGUUCUGUGUUUGGGAAACAAGUUGACUCUUCCCCACUGCCUUUCUUGGAACAUGCGUCUGAGUACAGAACCUGUUGUGGAAACUUCUGAACAGUCAUGGGUCAAAUGCAUAUGAAAAAUAUUUCAGCUCUUUAGAUAAUGCUAAAAUUUGAAAACACUCCCUCAUACUACUGAGAAUGCUCAACAAAGCAUGUAAGUACCUAGAUCUCGUGGCACACUUCUCGAUGAUUGUUUCGACAGCUUGAUUUGACAGUUUUAUUACAACGUUGUCUAUCUCAUGCUGUAGUGUUGUUUGUUUACUUUGCUAAAAGGCACAUUUUGUCGGUAAUUUUGGAUAAAAUCCAAAUACCUAGACUGUGAAUUGCAAACCGAAACUUUCAGUCAUUAUGGAUGAAUUUGAUUUAUUCUGAAUAUUGAUGAAGAUACGUGACUAUUGGUGUCUCAGUGGUUCAAGUAUUUCAAAUAAAGUGACUGACCAAGCGCCCUGUCCAAACGCACUGAAGUAGUGCCCUUUCUACCUUCUUUCCUUCCUUCCUCCCUCCCUUCUUCAUUUCACUCCUCUUAAAUAACUAUUGAUUGACAAGGUGAGGGUUCUGCCAUAUCACUUUCACCUGUUUUUGCUCUGUAGAUCAGGUGAAAGGGCAAAGGAAGGACGUGACUUUAGAGCUUUUUCGAAGUUGACCUGGUCUAAUUCUGACACCGCCUCUCAUUGAUUAUACAAACAUGUCGGGCAUGGAAAAGAACUGAAGAAAGAGCACAUUGCAUAGCUAGCAGUUUGAUCCCUGCGUUUCGUCGUGGCAUGACUGACUGACACAGACCUCCUCUUACCCUUUAGCAUGGAGUUUACAGACCAGUUACUCAGUUGCCUGCGCCUUCUUCACUGAAGCCGAAGCAAACCCAUUUGUUUACAACUAUGAAAGGCUACGAAUUGGAG